Long non-coding RNA from Pseudophryne corroboree (corroboree frog), 659 nucleotides. RefSeq lists it as uncharacterized. Lineage: Eukaryota; Metazoa; Chordata; Amphibia; Anura; Myobatrachidae. The transcript has 4 exons. The record is from RefSeq and is a predicted model, not a curated record.
GCUGUGCUGCGUACAGUGGACUGGCCUGCUAAUGUAACGCUGAGGAGAUUCCUGCUCGGUGCAGGAACUCCCCAGCAGUGUCUGCUGUGCUCCGAUUGGCAGAGUGACACAUCACUCAGUCACUCAGCCAAUCGGAGCACAGACAACCCCACACCCUUCCCAGAAAGGAGGCUUGCUAGUCUGACUGUACAUGAAAUUGCAGGCUAAAGCUCAACACUAACACGGCACAAAUGCUGCUGACGUUUCCAGUUUCCAUGCAGGAAGACAGGUAGGAUGAGAUCAACUGGCAAAGAGAUUUGCAGAGUGUCGGGUGACCGGCAAAGAGAUCUGCAAAGUGUCAGUUGAAGACGACGGGAGGGGUCGCAAAGGAAUUAAUGACUGGAGAAUAGCAUGCAGGAGUGGGUGAUCCCUGAAUAGCUGCCCUGGGAGGAGAGCUGCGGACACAUGCUACAAAUAUUGGGACAUAUGCAUUACCUAUUAGGAGAUGCGGUAAAGAUGCCGGCUGUCGGGUUUACGGCAGUCAGAAUACUGACACUGGGAUCCCGACACUCUACAGAAUCCCGACGUUGGAACUCCGAAUGGGCAAGGAUACCGGCGCCCGUAUCUCCAUGAUCAUAGGUUUAGGGCUGGGCAAAGGGGGUUAGGUUUAGGCAUCAGGC